This 916-nucleotide ribosomal RNA is filed under the name Aleurodiscus scutellatus. Its description in RNAcentral is "partial 25S ribosomal RNA". It matches the Rfam family "Eukaryotic large subunit ribosomal RNA", at positions 62 to 962 of the family's 3401-position model. Lineage: Eukaryota; Fungi; Basidiomycota; Agaricomycetes; Russulales; Stereaceae. The record is from RNAcentral.
NNNNNNNCAAGGAUUCCCCUAGUAACUGCGAGUGAAGCGGGAAAAGCUCAAAUUUAAAAUCUGGCGGUCUUNGGCCGUCCGAGUUGUAGUCUAGAGAAGUGCCUUCCGCGCUGGACCGUGUACAAGUCUCCUGGAACGGAGCGUCAUAGAGGGUGAGAAUCCCGUCUUUGACACGGACCGCCAGUGCUAUGUGAUGCGCUCUCUAAGAGUCGAGUUGUUUGGGAAUGCAGCUCAAAAUGGGUGGUGAAUUCCAUCUAAAGCUAAAUAUUGGCGAGAGACCGAUAGCGAACAAGUACCGUGAGGGAAAGAUGAAAAGCACUUUGGAAAGAGAGUUAAACAGUACGUGAAAUUGUUGAAAGGGAAACGCUUGAAGUCAGUCGCGUCGGCCGGGACUCAGCCUUGCAACCUUGCCUGGUGUACUUUCCGGUUGACGGGCCAGCAUCAAUUUUGACCGUCGGACAAGGGCGGGGGAAAUGUGGCACCCUCGGGUGUGUUAUAGUCCCCCGUCGCAUACGUCGGUUGGGAUUGAGGAACUCAGCACGCCUUUACGGUCGGGGUUCGCCCACGUUCGUGCUUAGGAUGCUGGCGUAAUGGCUUUAAACGACCCGUCUUGAAACACGGACCAAGGAGUCUAACAUGCCCGCGAGUGUUUGGGUGUAAAACCCAUGCGCGUAAUGAAAGUGAAAGUUGGGACCUCUGUCGUGGAGGGCACCGACGCCCGGACCAGACCUUCUGUGACGGAUCCGCGGUAGAGCGUGUAUGUUGGGACCCGAAAGAUGGUGAACUAUGCCUGAAUAGGGUGAAGCCAGAGGAAACUCUGGUGGAGGCUCGUAGCGAUUCUGACGUGCAAAUCGAUCGUCAAAUUUGGGUAUAGGGGCGAAAGACUAAUCGAACCNUCUNNNNNNNNNNNNNNNNN